This 301-nucleotide ribosomal RNA is filed under the name uncultured bacterium. Its description in RNAcentral is "partial 16S ribosomal RNA". It matches the Rfam family "Bacterial small subunit ribosomal RNA", at positions 509 to 807 of the family's 1533-position model. The record is from RNAcentral.
CAGUAGCCACGGUAAUACGUAGGUGGCGAGCGUUGUCCGGAAUUAUUGGGCGUAAAGGGCUCGCAGGCGGUUUCUUAAGUCUGAUGUGAAAGCCCCCGGCUCAACCGGGGAAGGUCAUCGGAAACUGGGAAACUCGAGUGCAGAAGAGGAGAGUGGAAUUCCACGUGUAGCGGUGAAAUGCGUAGAAAUGUGGAGGAACACCAGUGGCGAAGGCGACUCUCUGGUCUGUAACUGACGCUGAGGAGCGAAAGCGUGGGGAGCGAACAGGAUUAGAUACCCCUGUAGUCCCUGUCUCUUAUAC